ACUUUAGUGUUGUUUUGCCUCGCUUUUGGUACACAGUUCCAGGCUCGACUCUUGAAGGUACCCCAGCUUCCGUGGGUCCCUCGGCCCCAGCCAAGGUCUCUAUGCCUUCAAGGCCACACCAAACUAAACUGUGGCAUUUAACUCGAAAAAACAUAUAUGGAAACGAAAGCUGGUAAGAAGUCUUUAAUCAUGGUGCGUGAAUACUUGUGCCUACAGCUGGGAUCAAGCAAACUCUUACUGCUAGUUUAUGCAGAGGCUUCCAGCUAGUUAGAAGACAAGGAUUAGACUUCGUAAAGUUAUUGCCAGAAGUGGGAUCCAGUUCAUAUGGAUAAGCGGCACAGAGCGAGGCAGGAGGACCUGGAGGCGGCCAUUCUGGUACUGCCCAACUGGUCUCGCACUAAAGGACACGGUAGGCAAGACUGUCUCUGGGUACUGAAGAGCAUCUUUAAGGACGGCGUAGGGCCACCACAUCACCUGGCACCACGUACAGCUCUGUCGUCAGAGACCAGCCUUAGAUAUAGUUGUGCCAGAAGGUUCCUGUGAUGCCACAACCCCCAGCUUCUCAGUCUUCAACCCACAGCAAACUAGACACCCCAUCCUGUGGAAUACCUGAUACCUGGAAAUGUAGCUGGUAAGAAGUAAAGUUUCUGAUGGUGCGUGAAUACUAAUACCUACAGCUGGGAUCAAGCAAACUCUUACUGCUAGUCUUGGCAGAGGCUUUCAGCUAGUUAGUAUCCAAGAGGAUAAGGACGACUUUAUAAAGAGCGCUAUCGCAAGUGGGAUCCAGUUGACGUGAUCUUGAUGAUUUCGGGGCUUUAGUGUCCCCGCGGCCCGGUCCUCGACUCUCCACCCCCAGGAAGCAGCCCGUGACAGCUGAUUAACACCCAGGACAAAUGCCUCCGGUGACGUAAGCUAAAUUCAACGGAAGCUGUACCACUUUCAUCGCUGAAGAGCUCCUCUACACUCGAAACUACUGAAGACGUCCUCCUCAAAACUGACGUAAAAUUAUGUUGACGAGACCACACACUAGAAAUUGAAGGGACGACGACGUUUCGGUCCGUCCUGACGUAAAAUUAGUCUGGUCAACGCUACCUACUCGGCUCCUUCCCUGCAGCUUUUUAAUGCGUCUGUAACCUGCGGACUCCCGCCUCCAGAAAUAUCUCCUUCGCCACACAAUGUUGAAGUCCUGCGUUGGAAAGUUCUUCGUGUAUCCGUUUUCUUUUUCUAUUUAAAAUGACCACAUGUUCUAGCUCCACUAAAAGAUUAGUCAAGCCAAAACUCUUUGCGUAAUAGUGACUUUA
Molecule: non-coding RNA, 1301 nt
Organism: Procambarus clarkii (red swamp crayfish)
Lineage: Eukaryota; Metazoa; Arthropoda; Malacostraca; Decapoda; Cambaridae
Source: RefSeq, a predicted model, not a curated record